This 253-nucleotide ribosomal RNA is filed under the name uncultured bacterium. Its description in RNAcentral is "partial 16S ribosomal RNA". It matches the Rfam family "Bacterial small subunit ribosomal RNA", at positions 524 to 776 of the family's 1533-position model. The record is from RNAcentral.
UACGUAGGGUGCGAGCGUUAAUCGGAAUUAUUGGGCGUAAAGCGCGUGUAGGCGGCUUUGCAAGUCGGGUGUGAAAGCCCUCAGCUUAACUGAGGAAGUGCGCCCGAAACUGCUUAGCUUGAGUACCGGAGAGGAUGGCGGAAUUCCCCAAGUAGAGGUGAAAUUCGUAGAUAUGGGGAGGAACACCGGUGGCGAAGGCGGGUCUCUGGGCAGUAACUGACGCUGAGAAGCGAAAGCGUGGGGAGCGAACAGG